CGCGUCUGGUGCAAAUCAGGCGAGUGGCGGACGGGUGAGGAACACGUGGGUUAUCUACCUUGAGGUGAGGAAUACCGGCGAGAAAUCGCCGACAAUACCGCAUGACCUGAGGCAACUCAGGAAAGCUUCGCGAGGAGCGCCCCAAGAUGAGCCUGCGCCCGAUUAGCUGGUUGGUGGGGUAAAAGCCUACCAAGGCGACAAUCAGUAGCUGGUCUGAGAGGACGAUCAGCCACACUGGGAUUGAGAACGGCCCAGACUCCUACGGGGGGCAGCAGUGAGGAAUUUUCGUCAAUGGGGGCAACCCUGAACGAGCAACGCCGCGUGCAGGAAGAAGGUUUUCGGAUCGUAAACUGCUUUUCUUGGGGAAGAGAACGGACGGUACCCAAGGAAGAAGCCCCGGCUAACUACGUGCCAGCAGCCGCGGUAAUACGUAGGGGGCAAGCGUUGUCCGGAUUUAUUGGGGCGUAAAGCGCACGCAGGCGGUCUUUUACUUUUUGAGUGACAGGUGGUGGCUCACCCACCACAGGCCCUUGAAAUACGGGAAGACUUGAGGACGAGAGAGGGAUGCGGAAUUCCAGGUGGAGCGGUGAAUGCGUAAAGAUCUGGAAAAACCCAAAGGCGAAGGCAGCUUCCUGGCUCGGAACUGACCCUGAUGUGGAAGCUAGGGGAGCGAACGGGAUAGAUCCCCGGUAGUCCUAGCCUUAACGAUGACACUAAACGUCG
Molecule: ribosomal RNA, 723 nt
Filed under: uncultured bacterium
Lineage: Bacteria
Description: bacterial SSU rRNA
Rfam family: Bacterial small subunit ribosomal RNA
Source: RNAcentral